CGGAGAGGGAGCAUGAGAAACGGCUACCACUUCUAAGGAAGGCAGCAGGCGCGCAAAUUACCCAAUCCUGACUCAGGGAGGUAGUGACAAGAAAUAACAAUAAACCGGCUUAUGCCGGUUUAAUUGGAAUGAGUACAAUUUAAACAUCUUAACGAGGAACAAUUGGAGGGCAAGUCUGGUGCCAGCAGCCGCGGUAAUUCCAGCUCCAAUAGCGUAUACUAAAGUUGUUGCAGUUAAAAAGCUCGUAGUUGGAUUUCUGUGGGGGCGGAGCGGCCGGCCGCAACUCGCGGUUCGAGCUAGCGCUUCCCCUACAUCCUGCCGCGAACCGUGCUACCAUUAGUUUGGUGGCGCCGGGGAUCGGCUCGUUUACUUUGAGAAAAAUAGAGUGUUCAAAGCAGGCCACACGCCUUGAAUAAGUUAGCAUGGAAUAAUAAUAAAGGACUUCGGUUCUAUUUUGUUGGUGUUCGGGACUGAAGUAAUGAUUGAUAGGGACAGUUGGGGCGGUCAGUAUUCCAAAGCGAGAGGUGAAAUUCUUAGACCUUCGGAAGACUAACAGCUGCGAAAGCGUUCCGCAAGGAUGUUCCCUUUGAUCAAGAACGAAAGUUGGGGGAUCGAAGACGAUCAGAUACCGUCGUAGUCUCAACUAUAAACUAUACCAGCUAGGGAUCGGCCAACGUUAAAUUAUCCGACUUGGUCGGCACCUUAUGAGAAAUCAAAGCAUCUGGGUUCCGGGGGGAGUAUGGUCGCAAGGCUGAAACUUAAAGGAAUUGACGGAAGGGCACCACCAGCCGUGGAGCCUGUGGCUUAAUUUGACUCAACACGGGAAAACUUACCAGGUCCAGACAUAGUAAGGAUUGACAGAUUGAUAGCUCUUUCUUGAUUCUGUGGGUGGUGGUGCAUGGCCGUUCUUAGUUGGUGGAGUGAUUUGUCUGGUUAAUUCCGUUAACGAACGAGACCCCAGCCUGCUAAAUAGCGCGGCUGAGCUUUGCUCGGCGCGAGCUUCUUAGAGGGACUAUGAUGCGCGAUAGCACAUGGAAGUUUGGGGCAAUAACAGGUCUGUGAUGCCCUUAGAUGUUCUGGGCCGCACACGGGCUACACUGGCGCCUGCAACGAGCAUAUCAGCUGGCCCGAGAGGGUCUUGGCUAAUCUUUUGAACCGGCGCCGUGCUUGGGAUUGACCAUUGCAAUUGUUGGUCAUGCAACGAGGAAUGCCUUGUAAACGCGAGUCAUCAACUCGCAUUGAAUACGUCCCUGCCCUUUGUACACACCGCCCGUCGCUCCUACCGAUGAAUGUUCCGAUGAAAUUUUCGGAGAGCGCUUGUGAAGUUGGCUCUGCCUUCCGAACGAGAGGCUCAAAGUCACUUAAAUCUGAACAUUUCGAGGAAGGAGAAGUCGUAACAAGGUAACC
This 1407-nucleotide ribosomal RNA is filed under the name uncultured Rhizaria. RNAcentral describes it as "SSU rRNA". It matches the Rfam family "Eukaryotic small subunit ribosomal RNA", at positions 384 to 1804 of the family's 1831-position model. The record is from RNAcentral.